AACGAACGCUGGCGGCAUGCCUAACACAUGCAAGUCGAACGAGACGUUCGGGCCUAGGGGCGCACGGGUGCGUAACGCGUGGGAACCUGCCCGUAGGUUCGGAAUAACUCCCCGAGGGGGGUGCUAAGACCGGAGAAUGUCUUCGGACCAAAGAGUUAUGGCCUUUGGAUGGGGCCGCGUUGGAUUAGCUAGUUGGUAGGGUAAAAGCCUACCAAGGCGACGAUCCAUAGCUGGUCUGAGAGGAUGAUCCGCCACGCUGGGACUGCGACACGGCCCAGACUCCUACGCAACGGAGCAGUGUGGAAUAUUGGAGGAUGGGCGAAAGCCUGGUAACGCAGCGCGGCGUGAGUGAUGAAGGCGUUAGGGUUGUAAAGCUCUCUUUCCCGGGGUGAGAAUGACAGUACCGGGUGAAUAAGCUCCGGCUAACUCCGUG
Molecule: ribosomal RNA, 433 nt
Filed under: uncultured bacterium
Lineage: Bacteria
Description: partial 16S ribosomal RNA
Rfam family: Bacterial small subunit ribosomal RNA
Source: RNAcentral